GGCAGGUGAAGGUUCACUUUGAGUCGUAGAAAGGCGAGAUGCCGAACUGGUCGUGCGACGCGGCCGGUGUGCAAGGUGUGAUGCCAUGGGGCUGUGCGAUGCAGCAACUUCGUGUGAAGCGACAUGGUACGAGGGAAGUGCAGCGUGACAACCUGUGUGAAAGAGCCCUGGAGCCAACAUCUACACAUGCGUGAUCCGAGUGAACAGGUUGAGUCAGUUUGCAUGCAUGUGAGUUUGUUAGCUGCAUGUAGUGUGCAUUUGAGGCCAAGUCAUGGCUCCUGGAGAGAUUCCAGGAUUAAGAUAAGGUCAGUUAGUACAUGGUUAGUGCAUGGAGAGUUUAGUGGAGUAGUGGGUCUAGGUAUUGGCGUGAGUUUUGCACGGCAAGAGUGCCAGCCCCUGCUGUAUAAAUGUGUUGCUUUGAGUAAUCAAAAGAAGAGGCCGUGAGGGCACAAGUGGCAAGAUGUAGCACUAGUGUUCACCAAGGAGCAGACCCUCUUGGCAAAGCAGCGGCUGUCUUCUCUUUGGUGUAUGCGUGUGUGUGUGUGUGUGGAGUUUCACCAUGACCGUGUAGUGUGUGUUCUUGAGAGAGACAAAGAGAGAUGGAGAUUGAGUUGUGAGAGGCAGCUCAGGAGGAAGAAGAAGCGGUGCUGCAAGGAGAGAUGGCGCCAACAAUUGGCAUCAGAGCCUUGUCGAUCCGAGGCGACGACGGCAGCGCGGCCUACUCCAUGUGAGGUGGAGGACGGCGGCGCAAGGUGGAGGCUGUCGGUGGCGUGAUGCCGCUGGUGGCCGGUUGCGGUGCGAUGCCGCAAGAUGUUGACGGCGUGGCGAUCGGCGCCGCCAUCCACGUCAAGAGAUGGUUGCUGCAUGUGGCAGGAGGUCGUGGUACUUGGCGCCGCGAGGGCGUCGUCCACGGCAAGACGGCAUGGUGAUUGGCGUCGCGAGGACGUCAUCGAUGACAAGAUGGUCCAUGGUGACCGGCGCUGCGACGACGUCGGUGGCGGCGAGUGGCCGGCUGCAGCGCCGCGAUGGCGUCGCCAAGUGGCAGCGGGUGAAGCCGCGUGAAGAUUGAAGAAUCAAGAUUAAGGGGGAAAAUGUUAGCUCUAAUCUUGAUUUGUAUCUGCAUACUUAGUUUGUUUUUUGUCAUGCAUGUGACUUAGAUGGCCUAGGGAGUGAUAGGCAGGUGAAGGUUCACUUUGAGUCGUAGAAAGGCGAGAUGCCGAACUGGUCGUGCGACGCGGCCGGUGUGCAAGGUGUGAUGCCAUGGGGCUGUGCGAUGCAGCAACUUCGUGUGAAGCGACAUGGUACGAGGGAAGUGCAGCGUGACAACCUGUGUGAAAGAGCCCUGGAGCCAACGUAUACACAUGCGUGAUCCGAGUGAACAGGUUGAGUCAGUUUGCAUGCAUGUGAGUUUGUUAGCUGCAUGUAGUGUGCAUUUGAGGCCAAGUCAUGGCUCCUGGAGAGAUUCCAGGAGUAAGAUAAGGUCAGUUAGUACAUGGUUAGUGCAUGGAGAGUUUAGUGGAGUAGUGGGUCUAGGUAUUGGCGUGAGUUUUGCACGGCAAGAGUGCCAGCCCCUGCUGUAUAAAUGUGUUGCUUUGAGUAAUCAAAAGAAGAGGCCGUGAGGGCACAAGUGGCAAGAUGUAGCACUAGUGUUCACCAAGGAGCAGACCC
Molecule: long non-coding RNA, 1668 nt
Filed under: Triticum aestivum (bread wheat)
Lineage: Eukaryota; Viridiplantae; Streptophyta; Magnoliopsida; Poales; Poaceae
Description: long non-coding RNA (TAES_LNC016778)
Source: RNAcentral